GACGAACGCUGGCGGCGUGCUUAACACAUGCAAGUCGAGCGGUAAGGCCCUUUCGGGGGUACACGAGCGGCGAACGGGUGAGUAACACGUGGGUGACCUGCCCUCAGCUCUGGGAUAAGCCUGGGAAACCGGGUCUAAUACCGGAUAUGACUCCAUGACGCAUGUUGUGGGGUGGAAAGCCUUGUGCGGCUGAGGAUGGGCCCGCGGCCUAUCAGCUUGUUGGUGGGGGUGAUGGCCUACCAAGGCGACGACGGGUAGCCGGCCUGAGAGGGCGACCGGCCACACUGGGACUGAGACACGGCCCAGACUCCUACGGGAGGCAGCAGUGGGGAAUCUUGGACAAUGGGCGCAAGCCUGAUCCAGCCAUGCCGCGUGAGUGACGAAGGCCUC
RNAcentral lists this ribosomal RNA (390 nucleotides) under uncultured bacterium. RNAcentral describes it as "bacterial SSU rRNA". It matches the Rfam family "Bacterial small subunit ribosomal RNA", at positions 28 to 418 of the family's 1533-position model. The record is from RNAcentral.